GAUGAACGCUAGCUACAGGCUUAACACAUGCAAGUCGAGGGGAAACGAUAGAGAAAGCUUGCUUUUUCUAGGCGUCGACCGGCGCACGGGUGAGUAACGCGUAUCCAACCUGCCCAUCACUUGGGGAUAACCUUGCGAAAGUAAGACUAAUACCCAAUGACGUCUCUAGAAGACAUCUGAAAGAGAUUAAAGAUUUAUCGGUGAUGGAUGGGGAUGCGUCUGAUUAGCUUGUUGGCGGGGUAACGGCCCACCAAGGCGACGAUCAGUAGGGGUUCUGAGAGGAAGGUUCCCCACAUUGGAACUGAGACACGGUCCAAACUCCUACGGGAGGCAGCAGUGAGGAAUAUUGGUCAAUGGACGAGAGUCUGAACCAGCCAAGUAGCGUGCAGGAUGACGGCUCUAUGGGUUGUAAACUGCUUUUAUAAGGGAAUAAAGUGAGUCUCGUGAGACUUUUUGCAUGUACCUUAUGAAUAAGGACCGGCUAAUUCCGUGCCAGCCGCCGCGGUAA
RNAcentral lists this ribosomal RNA (508 nucleotides) under uncultured bacterium. RNAcentral describes it as "partial 16S ribosomal RNA". It matches the Rfam family "Bacterial small subunit ribosomal RNA", at positions 28 to 523 of the family's 1533-position model. The record is from RNAcentral.